AGUGAACGCUGGCGGUAGGCCUAACACAUGCAAGUCGAACGGCAGCACAGUAAGAGCUUGCUCUUACGGGUGGCGAGUGGCGGACGGGUGAGGAAUACAUCGGAAUCUACUUUUUCGUGGGGGAUAACGUAGGGAAACUUACGCUAAUACCGCAUACGACCUACGGGUGAAAGCAGGGGAUCUUCGGACCUUGCGCGAUUGAAUGAGCCGAUGUCGGAUUAGCUAGUUGGCGGGGUAAAGGCCCACCAAGGCGACGAUCGGUAGCUGGUCUGAGAGGAUGGUCACCCACACUGGAAGUGAGACAGGGUCCAGACUCCUACGGGAGGCAGCAGUGGGGAAUAUUAGACAAUGGGCGAAAGCCUGAUCCAGCCAUACCGCGUGGGUGAAGAAGGCGUUCGGGUUGUAAAGCCCUUUUGUUGGGAAAGAAAAGCAGCAGGUUAAUACCCCGCUGUUCUGACGGUACCCAAAGAAUAAGCACCGGCUAACUUCGUG
This 492-nucleotide ribosomal RNA is filed under the name uncultured bacterium. Its description in RNAcentral is "partial 16S ribosomal RNA". It matches the Rfam family "Bacterial small subunit ribosomal RNA", at positions 29 to 507 of the family's 1533-position model. The record is from RNAcentral.